AGCUGAGGAAAGCUACUUUUCAGGAGUUUCAGGAGCUAAUUAGGUAGAUACCUGAUUUUCUUGCUGUAUGGUGGCUCCAGGUAAUUUAUCAAGUUUGUAUGUGAUGUCAUAGAUGGAGUUGUUCAGUUACAUCAUAGAAUAUUGCUCACAUGAGGGAUCUGGAAGGAUCUUCGCAUGUGGUUGGAAUUUUGUCAGAUUUUAAUGGAAUCUUAUUCUAAUGUGAAGAGUCAAAGUUGUGGGAUGCUUUACAGGCCCAGAAUCCCCACUGUCAGCAUCAGGCUGCCUAACAGGCCCAGUGAGAUCAGGUACAGGCAUAAUCAAUGACUGAACUACAAGUUACAGUUGGGUGAAGAGAAUAAGAAAUCUGCUUGUGUGUACUUUAGGAUCUCCGUAUGAGCGCAUAUGAGGUCCAGCGUGUCAGGAGCUGAUUUCUGCUGUUCCUGAAGACAUCAUAAAUCUUCUCAGUGACAUCUUGAGGCCAGCAGGGGGCAUCGGGGAAGAAACUUCAAAGCCCAUGGAUGGAAAGUUGUGAACGGGCAAGGAAGGGGGGCAGGGAGAACAGUAGAAAACCAAAAGUUGUUGGGCAAAAUUGCCAUUAGCGUCUUUCUAUAGCUGUAGAGAUUUAAGCAAUUAAAACCAAUUCCAAAAGAA
Molecule: long non-coding RNA, 651 nt
Organism: Anolis carolinensis (green anole)
Lineage: Eukaryota; Metazoa; Chordata; Lepidosauria; Squamata; Anolidae
Exons: 2
Source: RefSeq, a predicted model, not a curated record